AUGUAUGUGCUCGGUAACGCAACGCUGUUCACCAUGUUGGAUUGCAGCCGCGGAUUCUUUCACAUCGAGGUGCAUCCGUUAGACGUGCAGAAAACCGCUUUCAUUUGCCACAGAGGGCUGUACAAGUUCACCCACUUGCCUUUUGGCUUGUCCAUCUCGCCAGGGAGCUUUCAGCGUUUGAUGGACGUUGUGCUCGGAAAUGCAAAGUAUGAAUUCGCGAUGGCAUACAUGGGUGACAUUGUUUUCUCGCGUACAUUUGAGGAGCAUCUCAAACACUUGACUAUCGUGCUUGAGUUGAUGCGGAACGCGGGCCUAACAAUCAAUCCGGGAAGGUUCAAUUGGCCGAGCCCAAAAUUAACCGUCUCGGAUUUGUUGUCGAUAGCGGCACGCUCCGUCCCAACAAAGAAAAACUGCGCGCACUAAAUGAGUACCCAAGCCCCCAUGACAUGAAAAGUUUACAGCGAUAUCUCGAAAUGAUUGCAUUCUAUAUGGAUUUCAUUCUUUACUGCUCAGAGAUUUCUCAGCUGCUUAACUCCUUCGAAAAUGCAUCGAAUGGUGUUGGAGCAAACAGCCACAAAGCGCAUUCAUAGCCUUUUCAAAGUCAGUGACAGAAAACGCAUGUCUGCACCUUCCCGACCUAAACCAAGCAUUCGUUUUGCAGACAGAUGCAAGCGAUUGCGGCGUCGGAGCUAUUCUACUGCAGGAACAUGACGGUAUACUUCGCCCGGUUGCUUUCGCAAGUAAGACCCUCAAUUCCACACAGCGUAACAACAGUGUCGCAGAGAGAGAAUGCUUAGCCAUAGUGUAUGCGUUAAAGCGAUUUGACAUGUAUUUAGAUGGCGGCAACAUUCCAAAUUCAAUAUGAUCAUUUAGCGCUGUCAUGGCUGAUAAGACUUUAGAACCCCGCUGGUCGCCUCGCUCGUUGGGCACUUGCGCUACAACAAUACGAUUACACUAUUGUGUAAAAAUUGGGUGCUACAAACCAAAUUGCUGAUGCACUUUCCCGCGCCCCCCUUCCUGAGGACCACGUGCAGGAAGUUCCAGGUCUGGUUGCAGUCGUUAAUACAACAUAGGAACCACCUGAGUCACGGUGGGGAACAUUGCUCUCAAGAGAGGAUCUUCUCAAGGGCUCAGCACAACGAUGGGCUGUGCCAACAAGUGACUGCCUGGCUGGCAGCGUCCAGCCCAGUCAACACCAAGGAGCCCAGGGCACAGGACCGCAACUACACAAAGUUUGCAGACGACCUGCGAAAGCGUUUCACUAUCAACCUCAAGGAAGCCCGGGAGAACCCCGACGUUGCCAGACUGCAGCUAUCCGACCAGUACAACCAGGGAUGCCGAGACCUGCAGUUCGAGGUGGGAGACUUGGUGCUCAGGUGCACUUGCCCCCCGAAUGAAGCGGCAAAAGGCUUCACGGACUCAAUGGCCAACAGAUAGAUCACGGGCAAUGCCACCUCCAAUCCUGGGCAUCUGGACGCCAGGGUCCCAGGACACGUGGCGGUCCCAGUCACCGAGGGCGGCAACCGACAAGGCCCAUCCCACGGAACCACGGCCAGUGGGCAGGACGGCCCAGAGACACCGGAAACAGCCGCUACCGUGCUCAGUGGUCGCUACACAGUUUGGAGUCCUGCCCUGGGGGCCUGGAUGGUAUCCCAAGACCUGAUGUCUGUUCCUGCAUGGACACUACCAGAGCAACAUUACCCAGCAAUCGAUCCCCUGCCACAAGUUUUGCUACGUCUUUCAAAGACAUGGACUUAGUCUGUGCCAACAGUUUUGGUGGAAAGAAGACUUUCAGUGCCCAAGGAGCACGGGGACUCCAGCACUGCUGUGACAAGGUGCUACAUGGUUUUAGCAGCUUUGCCUCUUCUGUGGCUCCACCGUUUUUCUUCAGUUGCUCAAGAAACCUUAGCCUCUUGGACCACCUUUCAAACUGGGUAGUGUUGGCCACAUUGCAACAUAUCUAUGGCUCAGCAUUAUCUUCACCUGGUGGGGUUAACGUGGAAUGUCGGGCUUGCCAGUUCUUUUUAUUUUGGUUGACCCUGAUUGGUUA
RNAcentral lists this long non-coding RNA (2050 nucleotides) under Ixodes scapularis (black-legged tick). RNAcentral describes it as "uncharacterized LOC115327269, transcript variant X1". The record is from RNAcentral. Lineage: Eukaryota; Metazoa; Arthropoda; Arachnida; Ixodida; Ixodidae.